CCCUUAGAUGUUCUGGGCGGCCCGCGCACUACAUUGGCACUAGCAAAGAGAUUCUAGAUUGAAUUCUUUGGGGUAUUCUUCUAAAUGGUGUCGUGACUGGGAUAAAUCCUUGUAAUUAUUGGUUUUGAACGAGGAAUUCCUUGUAAUCGCGGUUUAUCAGCUCGCGUUGAAUGCGUCCCUGCCCUUUGUACACACCGCCCGUCGCUCCUACCGAUGGAUCGUCCGGUGAAGCUCACGGAGUGACUGUUCACGCAACGGUUUACGAAGUGAAAUGGACCUCACGAUUUAGAGGAAGGAGAAGUCGUAACA
Molecule: ribosomal RNA, 309 nt
Filed under: uncultured eukaryote
Lineage: Eukaryota
Description: partial 18S ribosomal RNA
Rfam family: Eukaryotic small subunit ribosomal RNA
Source: RNAcentral